RNAcentral lists this ribosomal RNA (708 nucleotides) under Triticum aestivum (bread wheat). RNAcentral describes it as "partial small subunit ribosomal RNA". Lineage: Eukaryota; Viridiplantae; Streptophyta; Magnoliopsida; Poales; Poaceae. The record is from RNAcentral.
AUGCCGGAGGGGGUUAACACUACUACAAUUGUGUUGAUUCCUAAAAUUUCUAACCCAAUGAAGUUGUCUGAUUAUAGGCCAAUUAGCCUCUGCAAUGUUAUUUACAAAGUCAUCUCAAAGUGCCUUGUGAAUCGGUUGCGUCCGUUGUUGGAUGAGUUGAUCUCGUUAGAACAAAGUGCAUUUAUACCCGGAAGGAUGAUUACGGAUAAUGCUCUUGUUGCCUUUGAAUGUAUUCACCACAUUAAACAAGAGAAGGAUCCAACUAAGAGCUUUUGUGCAUAUAAGCUGGAUCUGUCCAAAGCCUAUGAUAAAGUGGAUUGGGGUUUCUUGAAGCAAGUGAUGCAAAAGGUGGGUUUCUCUCAACGAUGGAUUGACUGGAUAAUGGUGUGUGUCACAUCGGUGAGGUACUCUGUUAAACUAAAUGGGACUCUCUUGGAUUCAUUUGCACCAUCGCGAGGGCUUCGGCAAGGUGACCCACUUUCUCCAUUCUUAUUUUUGUUUGUGGCGGAUGGAUUAUCAGCCAUAUUGAGAAGCAAAGUGCAAAGUGGUGAUAUUACUCCUGUCAGGGUAUGUCGAAGGGCGCCAGGCAUUUCACAUUUAUUGUUUGCUGACGAUACUUUGCUGUUUUUUGAGGCGUCUAAACCACAAGCAGAAAGAGUUAAGGUUGCACUGGACCUGUACGGGUCAGCAACGGGGCAGAGUCUCAAC